UGGGGAAUAUUGCACAAUGGGCGCAAGCCUGAUGCAGCCAUGCCGCGUGUGUGAAGAAGGCCUUCGGGUUGUAAAGCACUUUCAGCGAGGAGGAAGGUGGUGAACUUAAUACGUUCAUCAAUUGACGUUACUCGCAGAAGAAGCACCGGCUAACUCCGUGCCAGCAGCCGCGGUAAUACGGAGGGUGCAAGCGUUAAUCGGAAUUACUGGGCGUAAAGCGCACGCAGGCGGUUUGUUAAGUCAGAUGUGAAAUCCCCGGGCUCAACCUGGGAACUGCAUUUGAAACUGGCAAGCUAGAGUCUCGUAGAGGGGGGUAGAAUUCCAGGUGUAGCGGUGGAAAUGCGUAGAGAUCUGGAGGAAUACCGGUGGCGAAGGCGCCCCCUGGANGAAGACUGACGCUCAGGUGCGAAAGCGUGGGGAGCAAACAGGAUUAGAGUACCCUGGUAGUCCACGCUGUAAACGAUGUCGAUUUGGAGGUUGUGCCCUUGAGGCGUGGCUUCCGGAGCUAACGCGUUAAAUCGACCGCCUGGGGAGUACGGCCGCAAGGUUAAAACUCAAAGGAAUUGACGGGGUCAUAGC
This 579-nucleotide ribosomal RNA is filed under the name uncultured bacterium. RNAcentral describes it as "partial 16S ribosomal RNA". It matches the Rfam family "Bacterial small subunit ribosomal RNA", at positions 355 to 925 of the family's 1533-position model. The record is from RNAcentral.